Regulatory RNA element from Abiotrophia defectiva ATCC 49176, 127 nucleotides. It matches the Rfam family "FMN riboswitch aptamer (RFN element)". Rfam says of the family: The RFN element is a highly conserved domain that is found frequently in the 5'-untranslated regions of prokaryotic mRNAs that encode for flavin mononucleotide (FMN) biosynthesis and transport proteins. This element is a metabolite-dependent riboswitch that directly binds FMN in the absence of proteins. In Bacillus subtilis, the riboswitch most likely controls gene expression by causing premature transcription termination within the 5' untranslated region of the ribDEAHT operon and precluding access to the ribosome-binding site of ypaA mRNA. The record is from Rfam. NCBI's taxonomy places the organism in Bacteria, Bacillati, Bacillota, Bacilli, Lactobacillales, Aerococcaceae.
AUUAGUCUUCAGGGCAGGGUGAAAUUCCCGACCGGUGGUAAAGUCCACGAGCCUGGUACCUUAGGGUCUAGGUUGAACUGGUGAAAUUCCAGUACCGACAGUAAAGUCUGGAUGGGAGAAGUAAGCU